GACGAACGCUGGCGGCGUGCUUAACACAUGCAAGUCGAACGGUAAGGCUCCAGCUUGCUGGGGUACACGAGUGGCGAACGGGUGAGUAACACGUGGGUGACCUGCCCUGCACUUCGGGAUAAGCCUGGGAAACUGGGUCUAAUACCGGAUAGGACCAUGGUGUGGAUACUGUGGUGGAAAGUUUUUUCGGUGUGGGAUGGGCCCGCGGCCUAUCAGCUUGUUGGUGGGGUAAUGGCCUACCAAGGCGGCGACGGGUAGCCGGCCUGAGAGGGUGGACGGCCACAUUGGGACUGAGACACGGCCCAGACUCCUACGGGAGGCAGCAGUGGGGAAUAUUGCACAAUGGGCGGAAGCCUGAUGCAGCGACGCCGCGUGGGGGAUGACGGCCUUCGGGUUGUAAACUCCUUUCACCAUCGACGAAGGGUUUCUGACGGUAGAUGGAGAAGAAGCACGGCUAACUACGUG
This 465-nucleotide ribosomal RNA is filed under the name uncultured bacterium. RNAcentral's name for it is "partial 16S ribosomal RNA". It matches the Rfam family "Bacterial small subunit ribosomal RNA", at positions 28 to 507 of the family's 1533-position model. The record is from RNAcentral.